Molecule: ribosomal RNA, 490 nt
Filed under: uncultured bacterium
Lineage: Bacteria
Description: partial 16S ribosomal RNA
Rfam family: Bacterial small subunit ribosomal RNA
Source: RNAcentral
AUUGAACGCUGGCGGCAUGCCUAACACAUGCAAGUCGAACGGUAGCAGGAAAAGCCUUGCUUCCUGGCUUUCGAGUCGCGGACGGGUGUGUAAUGUCUGGAAAACUGCUUGAUGAAGGGGGUUAACUACUGAAAACGGUACCUAAUACCGCAUAUCGUUGCAAGACCAAGGUGGAGGACCGUCAGACCGCUUUCCAUCGACUGUGCCCAGAUGGGAUUAGCUAGUAGGUGGGGUAACGGGUUACGGAGGCGACGAUCCCUAGCUGGUCUGAGAGGAUGAACAGCCACACUGGAACUGAGACACGGUCCAGACUCCUACGGGAGGCAGCAGUGGGGAAUAUUGCACAAUGGGCGAAAGCCUGAUGCAGCAAUGCCGCGUGUAUGAAGAAGGCCUUCGGGUUGUAAAGUACUUUCAGCGGGGAGGAAGAGAGUAAAGUUAAUCCCUGUACACAUUGACGUUACCUGCAGAAGAAGCACCGGCUAACUCCGUG